Molecule: ribosomal RNA, 2897 nt
Filed under: human gut metagenome
Description: bacterial LSU rRNA
Rfam family: Bacterial large subunit ribosomal RNA
Source: RNAcentral
UCAAGCUAAUAAGAGCAAAGGGUGAAUGCCUUGGCAUCAAGAACCGAAGAAGGACGUAGAAAGCUGCGAAAAGCCACGAGGAGACGCACACAGUCAGAGAAUCGUGGAUAUCCGAAUGGGGGAACCUAGCAGAGUAAAGCUCUGUUACUAUAUACUGAAUAAAUAGGUAUAUAGGGGGAACGUUGUGAACUGAAACAUCUAAGUAGCAACAGGAAGAGAAAGAAAAAUCGAUUUCCUAAGUAGCGGCGAGCGAAAGGGAAAAAGGCCAAACCAAUGAGCGUGCUUAUUGGGGUUGAGGACUGCAGAAUCCAUUGACAAAGGAUAGUCGAAUUGUUUUGGGAAAGCAAACCAAAGAAGGUGAAAGUCCAGUAGACGAAAUCUAGAGUCAGGAGGCAGGAUCCAGAGUACCACGGGACACGAGAAACCCUGUGGGAAGCCGGGGGGACCACCCCCCAAGCCUAAAUAUUCCUUGAUGACCGAUAGUGAAUAAGUACUGUGAAGGAAAGGUGAAAAGAACCCCGGGAGGGGAGUGAAAAAGAACCUGAAACCCUUUGUUUACAAACAGUGGGAGUUACGUUAGUAACGACUGCGUACUUUUUGUAGAACGGUCCGGCGAGUUACAUUUGCAAGCGAGGUUAAUUAGUAAGAAGCUAAGAAGCCGAAGGGAAACCAAGUCUGAAAAGGGCGACAAGUUUGUAGGUGUAGACCCGAAACCGGGUGACCUAUCCAUGAGCAGGUUGAAGUUACCGUAAAAGGUAAUGGAGGACCGAACUCGUAUCUGUUGAAAAAGGUUGAGAUGACUUGUGGAUAGCGGAGAAAUUCCAAUCGAACCCGGAGAUAGCUGGUUCUCCUCGAAAUAGCUUUAGGGCUAGCCUUGUGUUAAUCUACUGGAGGUAAAGCACUGAAUUGGUGCGGGGCCUUCGCGGGUUACCAAAUCAUAUCAAACUAAGAAUGCCAGAUAGAUGAUGCACAGGAGUCAGACUAUGUGAGAUAAGUUUCAUAGUCAAAAGGGAAAGAGCCCAGACCGACAGCUAAGGUCCCAAAGUGUGUGUUAAGUGGAAAAGGAUGUGAGAAUUCGAAGACAACUAGGAUGUUGGCUUAGAAGCAGCCACGCAUUUAAAGAGUGCGUAACAGCUCACUAGUCGAGAGUUUUUGCGCCGAAAAUGUCCGGGGCUAAAACACACCACCGAAGCUACGGAAUUGUGCGUAAGUGCAAUUGGUAGAGGAGCAAUCUGCAAGGAAGAAGCCUAACUGAGAGGGAAGGUGGACGAAGCAGAAGAGAGAAUGCCGGAAUGAGUAGCGAGAUAUAUGUGAGAAUCAUAUAGGUCGAAUGUCUAAGGUUUCCAGAGUAAAGCUGAUCUGCUCUGGGUAAGUCGGGACCUAAGGCGAGGUCGAAAGACGUAGUCGAUGGACAACUGGUUUAAAUUCCAGUACUACUAAUAAUCAGAACUGUGGGGACACAGGAGGAUAGGAAAACCGAGGAAAGGAAAUACUCGGCUAAGCACAAAGCUGUGUGUAUGAUGAAAAACACAUACAUGAAGGUGAAGUGUGAUAGGGAGUGAAGAGAAGUAGCGAAGUUUCUGAAUCCACACUGUCAAGAAAAGCCGCUAUAGAGUUAUUAGUACCCGUACCGCAAACCGACACAGGUAGACGAGGAGAAAAUCCAAAGACCGACGGGAGAAGUGUUGUUAAGGAACUCGGCAAAAUGACCCCGUAACUUAGGGAGAAGGGGAACCAACGAGAGUUGGUCACAGAGAAGAGGCUCAAGCGACUGUUUAGCAAAAACACAGGUCUCUGCGAAACCGAAAGGUGAAGUAUAGGGGCUGACACCUGCCCGGUGCUGGAAGGUCAAAAGGAGAGGUUAGGGAAAGCCCGAAGCUUUGAAUUCAAGCCCCAGUAAACGGCGGCCGUAACUAUAACGGUCCUAAGGUAGCGAAAUUCCUUGUCAGGUAAGUUCUGACCCGCACGAAAGGUGUAACGAUUUGAGCACUGUCUCGACAACACGCCCGGUGAAAUUGAAGAACCAGUGAAGAUACUGGUUACCCGCAACAGGACGGAAAGACCCCAUGGAGCUUUACUGCAGCUUAAUAUUGGGAUUCGGUAUUACAUGUACAGGAUAGGAGGGAGACUAGGAAGCCAGUACGCCAGUAUUGGUGGAGUCGAUGUUGGGAUACCUCUCUUGUAGUAUUGGAUUUCUAACCUGCUCCCAUGAACUGGGAGAGGGACAUUGUUAGGCGGGCAGUUUGACUGGGGCGGUCGCCUCCGAAAGAGUAACGGAGGCGCUCAAAGGUCUUCUCAGAAUGAUUGGAAACCAUUCAAAGAGUGUAAAGGCAGAAGAAGGCUUGACUGCGAGAGCGACGGUUCGAGCAGGUACGAAAGUAGGACUUAGUGAUCCGGUGGUAACAAGUGGGAGUGCCAUCGCUUAACGGAUAAAAGCUACCCUGGGGAUAACAGGCUUAUCUCCCCCAAGAGUUCACAUCGACGGGGAGGUUUGGCACCUCGAUGUCGGCUCAUCGCAUCCUGGGGCUGAAGUAGGUCCCAAGGGUUGGGCUGUUCGCCCAUUAAAGCGGUACGCGAGCUGGGUUCAGAACGUCGUGAGACAGUUCGGUCCCUAUCCGUUGUGGGCGUAGGAAAUUUGAGAGGAGCUGUCCUUAGUACGAGAGGACCGGGAUGGACGAACCGCUGGUGUAUCUGUUGGUAACCAAUGCCAUGGCAGAGUAGCCAAGUUUGGAAAGGAUAAACGCUGAAGGCAUCUAAGCGUGAAGCCAACCUCAAGACUAGAUUUCCAUGCUCUAGUAGCAGUAAGACCCCUUGAAGACGACAAGGUUGAUAGGCCUAAGGUGUAAGUGCGGUAACGUAUUAAGCUGAUAGGUACUAAAGGUCGAGUGCUUGUCCAA